CCUUUUGACUUUUGAGUCUGUCUCUCUCCAUUCUCCAGCUUCAGAUAAUCACAUAUAACAAUCAACUCUUGAAAUCUGCAAUUCAACACCAAAAAUUCAUAAUGUCAUCCUUCUUCAACAAAAUCAAUUUAUUCAUAAACUAUAUUAAUUCAAACUUACCAACAUCAUGGAAUCUAUAAUACAUAGUUUGUUUUUACUCUAAUGACUCUCCUCUAACAUCUGGAGGCAUCAUUUUUGCAGUUUCCCA
This 247-nucleotide long non-coding RNA is filed under the name Glycine max (soybean). Its description in RNAcentral is "long non-coding RNA (GMAX_LNC001922)". Lineage: Eukaryota; Viridiplantae; Streptophyta; Magnoliopsida; Fabales; Fabaceae. The record is from RNAcentral.